GUGGAUAUCUUGUUCCAGACGAUGACUACAAGGUUAUAGUACUGUUUACUAUGAUUGUUAGGUAGUUUUGAUCAGAAGAGGAGUGGAAGAUUCAAACUGGAUGGCUUCAUAUCACUCUGUAUAUUUGUACAGUCUGCGCAAAUGCUGAAC
Non-coding RNA from Coffea arabica (coffee), 150 nucleotides. NCBI's taxonomy places the organism in Eukaryota, Viridiplantae, Streptophyta, Magnoliopsida, Gentianales, Rubiaceae. The record is from RefSeq and is a predicted model, not a curated record.